AGCGAACGUUUGCGGCGGGCCUAACACAUGCAAGUCGAACGCACUAGCAAUAGUGAGUGGCGCACGGGUGCGUAACACGUGGGUAAUCAACCCUUCAGCCUGGGAUAACGACUCGAAAGGGUCGCUAAUACCGGAUACGGCGCGAGAGGCUUCGGCUUCUCACGAGAAAGCCACGCAAGGGGCACUGAAGGACGAGCCUGCGGCCCAUCAGCUAGUUGGUGAGGUAAGAGCUCACCAAGGCUAAGACGGGUAGCUGGUCUGAGAGGAUGAUCAGCCACACUGGAACUGAGACACGGUCCAGACUCCUACGGGAGGCAGCAGUGGGGAAUAUUGCGCAAUGGGCGAAAGCCUGACGCAGCCACGCCGCGUGAGCGAUGAAGGCCUUCGGUCGUAAGACGUCUGUGGGAGGAGGACGAAGAAAGACCUGUGAAGAGCAGGCCGUUGACGGUAGUCUCUUUAGUCAAG
This 465-nucleotide ribosomal RNA is filed under the name uncultured bacterium. RNAcentral describes it as "bacterial SSU rRNA". It matches the Rfam family "Bacterial small subunit ribosomal RNA", at positions 29 to 490 of the family's 1533-position model. The record is from RNAcentral.